Molecule: ribosomal RNA, 305 nt
Filed under: uncultured bacterium
Lineage: Bacteria
Description: bacterial SSU rRNA
Rfam family: Bacterial small subunit ribosomal RNA
Source: RNAcentral
ACCUACGGGGGGCAGCAGUGAGGAAUAUUGGUCAAUGGGCGGAAGCCUGAACCAGCCAAGUCGCGUGAGGGAAUAAGGCCCUACGGGUCGUAAACCUCUUUUGCCGGGGAGCAAGGGCCGGGACGCGUCCCGGCCCGGAGAGUACCCGGAGAAAAAGCAUCGGCUAACUCCGUGCCAGCAGCCGCGGUAAUACGGAGGGGGCGAGCGUUGUCCGGAAUGACUGGGCGUAAAGGGCGCGUAGGCGGUUUAAUAAGUCAGUGGUGAAAACUGAGGGCUCAACCCUCAGCCUGCCACUGAUAUUGUUA